This 409-nucleotide ribosomal RNA is filed under the name uncultured bacterium. RNAcentral describes it as "bacterial SSU rRNA". It matches the Rfam family "Bacterial small subunit ribosomal RNA", at positions 505 to 916 of the family's 1533-position model. The record is from RNAcentral.
GUGCCAGCCGCCGCGGUAAUACGGAGGGUGCAAGCGUUAUCCGGAUUCACUGGGUUUAAAGGGAGCGUAGGUGGGUUGGUAAGUCAGUGGUGAAAUCUCCGAGCUUAACUUGGAAACUGCCAUUGAUACUAUCGAUCUUGAAUACUGUGGAGGUAAGCGGAAUAUAUCAUGUAGCGGUGAAAUGCUUAGAUAUGAUAUAGAACACCAAUAGCGAAGGCAGCUUACUACGCAGUUAUUGACACUGAGGCUCGAAAGCGUGGGGAUCAAACAGGAUUAGAUACCCUGGUAGUCCACGCCCUAAACUAUGGAUACUCGACAUCAGCGAUACACUGUUGGUGUCUGAGCGAAAGCAUUAAGUAUCCCACCUGGGAAGUACGUCCGCAAGGAUGAAACUCAAAUAAAUUGGCGG